CAUAACGAUGAUUGGUCUGUAUUUUUAACCUUUCCUCACCACAGCCAGUCACCUUUCUCCCUCGCAUAAGCAAUCUCGACAAGGAGUCCAAUGCCAAGAGAGAGAGAAGAGACAACUCACAGAAGAGAGAGAGAGACCCUCUUCUACUCCAACUCUUCUUCUCUUCUCUUCUCUUCUUCUAAUAACAAACCCGAAACCUAAUCGACUCUCUCAGCGAUCGCUUCUUUUCAAUCUCAGCAGAUCUCAUAGUUUCAAUCAACCAUGUUUUCCAAGGUUUUCGGAAAGCCUAAGCAAGAAACAAACCCUCUCGCAACGUUAGAAAAAUUGAACGAGACACUUGAAAUGCUGGAGAAAAAGGAGAAAGUUCUCCUGAGGAAGGCUGCUGCAGAGAUAGAAAGAGCUAAGGAAUUUACCAGAGCAAAGAACAAAAGAGCGGCAAUACAAUGUUUAAAGAGGAAGAGACUUUACGAACAGCAAGUUGAACAGCUUGGAAACUUUCAGUUGCGCAUCCAUGAUCAGAUGAUAAUGCUGGAAGGUUCAAAAGCUACCACAGAGACUGUUGCUGCUUUGAGAACCGGGGCUGCUGCAAUGAAAGCCAUGCAAAAAGCAACGAAUAUCGAUGACGUGGACAAAACAAUGGACGAGAUUAACGAGCAGACUGAGAACAUGAAACAGAUCCAGGAGGCACUUUCAGCACCUAUUGGUUCAGCCGCUGAUUUUGACGAAGAUGAAUUAGAGGCAGAACUGGAAGAACUGGAAGGGUCUGAGUUGGAGGAACAGCUUCUCCAGCCUGCCACAACUGUACUCUCUCCUCCGCUGUCUGCUCCAGAGGGCAAGAUAAGACCGCCUGUUCGUCCAGCUCCCCGCAAGAACACAGCUGAGGAAGAUGAGCUUGCUGCUUUACAAGCUGAGAUGGCACUUUGAAAGAGAAGUGAAGCUGGUUUAUCAAUAUGCUAUCAUUGAAUGCAGCAUUGGGUGAUAAUAUUUCCGUGAUUACAUUUUCAACAACUAAGAAGAGAUUCUUUCAAGCUUGGAUGUCGGCUAUGAUGCUCGUCGUUUGCUGGUGCUUCCUCUCCUGUCCACUAGGUUACAAAUUGUGUAGAUAACAUUGAUUGGCAUUCUUCUUUAAAAUGUUUUCGAAGGUAUAUUGGAAUUUUCUUUAUUCAUCUGGUUACGGAUUCUACCUUCUGUUUGUAAAAUGAUUUUUCAGUUUCCUUUACUUUUGAAGUUUGGACAUGUAAAAGAAUUUCUGGUCCAGGGGCAUGGAUGUGGGAAACAAUUUACUGUGAUUAUCUGUACAGUUAUUUUGCCGAUCAACAAAAAUCUGUACAAGAUACAGACACAGGAGCAUCUCUAGUAGAUACUUUGAAUGUCAAAUACUACCAAAGAAGUACGAAGGUUUUGUAUGGCUAUUGAAGUAUUUCAGCAAAGCUCUUCAUGCUGA
Rhododendron vialii is the source of this 1444-nucleotide RNA transcript. It is a transcript of the gene named vacuolar protein sorting-associated protein 32 homolog 2-like, with no coding region annotated. Lineage: Eukaryota; Viridiplantae; Streptophyta; Magnoliopsida; Ericales; Ericaceae. The transcript has 9 exons. The record is from RefSeq and is a predicted model, not a curated record.